Molecule: long non-coding RNA, 3023 nt
Organism: Sinocyclocheilus grahami
Lineage: Eukaryota; Metazoa; Chordata; Actinopteri; Cypriniformes; Cyprinidae
Source: Ensembl
CUGAGUGUGUGUGUGUGUCUGUGUGUGUGUGUCUGUCUGUCUGUCUGUCUGUCUGUCUGUCUGUGAGUGAGUGUGUGUGUGUGUCUGUGAGUGUGUGUGUCUGUCUGUCUGUCUGUCUGUGAGUGUGUCUGUCUGUCUGUGAGUGAGUGUGUGUGUGUAUGUGUGUCUGUGAGUGUGUAUGUGUGUCUGAGUGUGUGUGUGUGUCUGUGUGUGUGUGUCUGUCUGUCUGUCUGUCUGUGAGUGUGUCUGUGUGUCUGUGUGUGUGUGUGUGUGUCUGUGUGUGUGUGAGUGUGUGUGUGUGUGUCUGUGAGUGUGUGUGUCUGUCUGUCUGUCUGUCUGUGAGUGUGUCUGUCUGUCUGUGAGUGAGUGUGUGUGUGUGUGUGUGUCUGUGUGUGUGUGUGUGUGUCUGAGUGUGUGUGUGUCUGUGUGUGUGUGUCUGUCUGUCUGUCUGUCUGUCUGUGAGUGAGUGUGUGUCUGUGUCUGUCUGUGAGUGUGUGUGUCUGUGUCGGUCUGUGAGUGUGUGUGUGUCUGUGAGUGUGUGUGUGUCUGUGUCUGUCUGUGAGUGUGUGUGUCUGUGUGUCUGUGAGUGUGUGAAUGUGUGUCUGUGAGUGUGUGUCUGUGAGUGUGUGUGUGGGUCUGUGAAUGUGUUUGAAUGUGUGUGUGUGUGUGUGUGUGUCUGUGUCUGUCUGUGAGUGUGUGUGUCUGUGUCGGUCUGUGAGUGUGUGUGUGUCUGUGAGUGUGUGUGUGUGUGUGUGGGUCUGUGAAUGUGUUUGAAUGUGUGUGUGUGUGUGUGAGUGAGUGAAUGUGUGUGUGUGCUGUGUUCCGUUCCGUUGUUUUGACUGUGCUGGUGUUUGUUCAGCUGCAGGACCCGCUGAGGUCGGCUCAUCGCUCCAGCCGUCAGUGUCACAGAUGAUGAGCGAUGAUGCUCUGACUGACGACCCACAGGAUGAUGCAUCUGAUCUGUUUCUUCCUCUGCCUUCUGACGUCACCACCAAUGAGACGGCAGACUGUUCGACGGCUCUCUGCGUCCCGCUGGAAGCAGAACCGUGUGGAGCACAUGAUGCUGAAGCCUCUGACUGGCUGGAGUCCACAGAUCAGUCCCUAACAUCCCUGCAGCAUCUCAGAGUCGACACGCUGCUUCAGUCUCAGCCAGACAUGCAGAUAUCUAUGGAUGCGCUCUCUUUUACCCACGAGUCCCUCUGUGACACCGAUGCUGUGGCUCCACCCACUGCCGCAGACGUGAGCCCUCUCAAGCCCGCUCUACAGGAAGAUGCACCACAGGAAGUGAGCUCGGAGCCGCCGCCGCACCUGACUGAGCUCUUAGAGCGAGCACAGGGCGAAUCACAGAGCCGUUCGGACGACAGCCAAUCAGAGCGGCCAGAGGCGGCGUUCCCUCAUGCUGUGAUGCUGCUGGAGUUUCAGAGCUCGUCUGCUCCGCAGCAGCGCCGGCAGGAUCGUCUCGCUCAGAGGUCAGCGCUCAGAGCCGCCCAGAUCAAAGCCAGAAAAACCACAGCGGUCCAGAAAGUGUCCAGAGCCACAGGACGCACAGAUCCUAAACCACACACAGCUGACAGACUGAAGAGCGUGGCUGAGGUGCGGAUCUGCUCUGAUGAACACAGACGCUGUGAGGAGGCUACGAUGUACCGCCGCACACACAGAUUGUACAGUCAGUUAGAGGAAGUUAAACAGAAGAAGGAGCUGCGGAGCCGUCAGGAAUCGUACGCUAAGAACCGGGAGAAGGCCAGAGACUUCCAGAGGAAGACGCUGGAGAAACUGAGGGCCAAACUGAACCGCUGACGUGCUUGGAGAUUCAUCGCUGCUGUUUGUUAUUGGUCUCAAUCAGAUUUUAAAGCAAUUUUAUUUGUGUCUGUAUGUUGUGUAUUUUAAGUAAAAUGCUGUUUUAAUUUAAUUGAGUCAUCAGUGUGAUUGUGAAUAAUAAUAAUACACUACUUUCUUUUCCUGUUGGUCUCUGGAAUUACCGGUCUGCAGUAAACAAAGCAGAUGUCAUUCAAGACUAAGCCUCAUGGCCCUGACAGAGACCUGGAUCAACCCAGAGGACACUGCUGCUGCUUGUAGUGCUCUCGGUGUUCGAUGGCCUCACACGGGCCGCCACUAAAUGUAGUGGUUUUAAAUCUCUUUGGGCUUAAAUAUUAAUCGGGGGUCGAGCACCACAUUUUUUUGAAAAACCUACUUUUCCGAGCUCGUCCUAGACGGUUUGUCUGAUUUUCACACAAUGUGGCUCGGAUCAUCUUCAGACCAUGCUGGCACAAAGUUGAGGACUUCAAGUUGAUUAGUCAAACCGUUUUCGAAUAAUGUGCGAAAGAAUUCAACGAAGAACAUGAGGCUAUAUCUCCGCAACGCUUUAACGUAUUGAGGCCAAACUUGGUGUGUGUUAUAAUAACCAUGACCUGAGGCCACCUAGGGGUCAGGAGAUAUAAAAACAUUAUAUUUUUGCUUAACUUCAGAAAAAAUUGCAAAACUGGUCUCUAGAUUCGAUGGCCAUGUCGGACAUUUUGAAUUUUGACCUAAAAUGCUAUAUUUUACGAACGCAUUAGCCUAUCGUUAUGAAACUCUGAAUGUGUUCGGCACCAUGCCCUGAUGGUACUCUCCUCCACAUCAUCUUUCAACGUAACCUACGCUCACUCUUCAUCUUCNNNNNNNNNNCACAACUCUCCACACUACAAUCUGUCAAGCACAUCUUACCAGCAAACAUACACGCUUUCACAUCCUUCUCUCCACUCUCCGAGACAAACUCAUCCUUUCUAAUCAUCCUACUGCUUGUCUAGUUCAAGCCAGUUCUUCUUCAGUUGUACCUGCACUCAUUAACACAUCCCUUCACACUGGUGUCUUUCCCUCAGCAUUAAAACGGGCUCGAUAACCUCACUACUUCAGUGGCCCAAAAGAUCACAAGUUCAGAGAAUUUAAUCAAACAAAUGAGACAAAAAUAUAUACUCCUAGUCCAUCUGUUCAGAGGUGUUUUCAAUCCGUGAGAUGGCUAUCAGCCGUCAGUGUCUGCCCUGUUU